GCGCCCUUCGCUCAGCUGGAUAGAGCAACGGCCUUCUAAGCCGCAGGUCACAGGUUCGCAUCCUGUAGGGCGUGCCA
This 77-nucleotide transfer RNA is filed under the name Klebsiella pneumoniae. Its description in RNAcentral is "tRNA-Arg". It matches the Rfam family "tRNA". From Rfam's summary of the family: Transfer RNA (tRNA) molecules are approximately 80 nucleotides in length. Their secondary structure includes four short double-helical elements and three loops (D, anti-codon, and T loops). The record is from RNAcentral. Lineage: Bacteria; Pseudomonadati; Pseudomonadota; Gammaproteobacteria; Enterobacterales; Enterobacteriaceae.